This 445-nucleotide long non-coding RNA is filed under the name Anolis carolinensis (green anole). RNAcentral describes it as "lncRNA (ENSACAG00000038293.1)". Lineage: Eukaryota; Metazoa; Chordata; Lepidosauria; Squamata; Anolidae. The record is from RNAcentral.
UGUUAAUUUGACUUAUAGUACAAUCCAAAAUAUGUUUACUCAGAAGUACAUCCCACUGGGAUCAAUGGGACUUACUCCCAGGUAAGUGAAUAUUGAAUUGCAGUCUGAACUUCAUUACACUUAACUCAUGUUUGACACAUAAAUCAAUAGUACUUCUUCUCCCUUUCUAGUGUACAGUCACAUUGCUUACAAAGCUUGUCUUGCUUAUUUUUUUCAGUACUAUGGAGUGAAAUGUAUCCUAUUACCAGGACAUCUUGCUUUAUUCUAAGAAAGCACUGGAGAAGGUUGCAGGAUGUCCCUAUAACCUGAGAAACAUUCUUCAGCAUCCCUGACCAAAGGAGAACAUCUGUAGAUAUUAGAUCCAAUUAGGAAAAGACAUCUAUAACCCAGGAACAAAAAUUGUGUUACAUACUGUUAUUGAAUGAUUGUUCAAUGGGACUAUAGA